GGUUUCGCUGCUUUUUUCAAAGUAGCGGAUGAAAAGGGAAUCGGGUGAAAAUCCCGAACAGUCCACGCUGCUGUGAGACUUCAUUAACAGAUUGACAAUCACCUUUGCCACUGUUUAUUAUUAAACGGGAAGGCGUCAGUCUGGAAGCCAGUCAGAAGACCUGCCAUUCAUGAUAA
This 176-nucleotide non-coding RNA is filed under the name uncultured Parabacteroides sp. The record is from RNAcentral. Lineage: Bacteria; Pseudomonadati; Bacteroidota; Bacteroidia; Bacteroidales; Tannerellaceae.